UACGUAGGGUGCAAGCGUUGUCCGGAAUUAUUGGGCGUAAAGAGCUCGUAGGCGGUUUGUUGCGUCGGCUGUGAAAUCCCCAGGCUCAACCUGGGAACUGCGUCUGAUACUGGAUGGCUUGAAUCCGGGAGAGGGAUGCAGAAUUCCAGGUGUAGCGGUGAAAUGCGUAGAUAUCUGGAGGAAUACCGGUGGCGAAGGCGGCAUCCUGGACCGGCAUUGACGCUGAGGAGCGAAAGCUAGGGGAGCAAACGGG
This 253-nucleotide ribosomal RNA is filed under the name uncultured bacterium. RNAcentral's name for it is "partial 16S ribosomal RNA". It matches the Rfam family "Bacterial small subunit ribosomal RNA", at positions 524 to 776 of the family's 1533-position model. The record is from RNAcentral.